RNAcentral lists this ribosomal RNA (509 nucleotides) under uncultured bacterium. RNAcentral describes it as "bacterial SSU rRNA". It matches the Rfam family "Bacterial small subunit ribosomal RNA", at positions 28 to 517 of the family's 1533-position model. The record is from RNAcentral.
GAUGAACGCUAGCUACAGGCUUAACACAUGCAAGUCGAGGGGAAACGACAUCGAAAGCUUGCUUUUGAUGGGCGUCGACCGGCGCACGGGUGAGUAACGCGUAUCCAACCUGCCCACCACUUGGGGAUAACCCUUGCGAAAGGUAAGACUAAUACCCAAUGAUAUCUCUAGAAGACAUCUGAAAGAGAUUAAAGAUUUAUCGGUGAUGGAUGGGGAUGCGUCUGAUUAGCUUGUUGGCGGGGUAACGGCCCACCAAGGCGACGAUCAGUAGGGGUUCUGAGAGGAAGGUCCCCCACAUUGGAACUGAGACACGGUCCAAACUCCUACGGGAGGCAGCAGUGAGGAAUAUUGGUCAAUGGGCGAGAGCCUGGAACCAGCCAAGUAGCGUGGCAGGAUGACGGCCCUAUGGGGUUGUAAACUGCUUUUAUAAGGGAAUAAACGUGAGACCUCGUGAGGCUUUUUGCAUGUACCUUAUGAAUAAGGACCGGCUAAUUCCGUGCCAGCAGCCG